CCUAAGGGGUGCAGCAGUGGGGAAUAUUGGACAAUGGGCGAAAGCCUGAUCCAGCCAUGCCGCGUGUGUGAAGAAGGCCUUCGGGUUGUAAAGCACUUUCAGUGGGGAAGAAAGCCUUGGGGCUAAUACCCUCGAGGAAGGACAUCACCCACAGAAGAAGCACCGGCUAACUCCGUGCCAGCAGCCGCGGUAAUACGGAGGGUGCGAGCGUUAAUCGGAAUUACUGGGCGUAAAGCGCGCGUAGGCGGUCUGAUAAGCCGGUUGUGAAAGCCCCGGGCUCAACCUGGGAACGGCAUCCGGAACUGUCAGGCUAGAGUGCAGGAGAGGAAGGUAGAAUUCCCGGUGUAGCGGUGAAAUGCGUAGAGAUCGGGAGGAAUACCAGUGGCGAAGGCGGCCUUCUGGACUGACACUGACGCUGAGGUGCGAAAGCGUGGGUAGCAAACAGGAUUAGAUACCCCAGUAGUC
This 465-nucleotide ribosomal RNA is filed under the name Vreelandella stevensii. RNAcentral's name for it is "partial 16S ribosomal RNA". It matches the Rfam family "Bacterial small subunit ribosomal RNA", at positions 338 to 795 of the family's 1533-position model. Lineage: Bacteria; Pseudomonadati; Pseudomonadota; Gammaproteobacteria; Oceanospirillales; Halomonadaceae. The record is from RNAcentral.